UACAGGGGGGGCAAGCGUUGUUCGGAAUUACUGGGCGUAAAGGGUUCGUAGGUGGCCAACUAAGUCAGACGUGAAAUCCCUCAGCUUAACUGGGGAACUGCGUCUGAUACUGGAUGGCUUGAGUGCAGGAGAGGAAUGCGGAAUUCCAGGUGUAGCGGUGAAAUGCGUAGAUAUCAGGAGGAACACCGGUGGCGAAGGCGGGUCUCUGGGCCGUUACUGACGCUGAGGAGCGAAAGCGUGGGGAGCGAACAGG
RNAcentral lists this ribosomal RNA (253 nucleotides) under uncultured bacterium. RNAcentral describes it as "partial 16S ribosomal RNA". It matches the Rfam family "Bacterial small subunit ribosomal RNA", at positions 524 to 776 of the family's 1533-position model. The record is from RNAcentral.